AACGCUGGCGGCGUGCCUAAUACAUGCAAGUCGAACGGAAACCUUCGGGUUUUAGUGGCGAACGGGUGAGUAACACGUAAGCAACCUGCCCUUAAGACGAGGAUAACAAUUGGAAACAGUUGCUAAGACUGGAUAGGAAAAGUAAAGGCAUCUUUACUUUUUUAAAAGACCUUCUUUGAAGGUAUGCUUAAGGAGGGGCUUGCGACACAUUAGUUAGUUGGCAGGGUAAAGGCCUACCAAGACUAUGAUGUGUAGCUGGACUGAGAGGUUGAACAGCCACAUUGGGACUGAGACACGGCCCAAACUCCUACGGGAGGCAGCAGUAGGGAAUUUUCGGCAAUGGAGGAAACUCUGACCGAGCAACGCCGCGUGAACGAUGAAGUACCUCGGUAUGUAAAGUUCUUUUAUUAAGGAAGAAAAAAGAGUGGAAAAACUCCCUUGACGGUACUUAAUGAAUAAGCCCCGGCUAAUUAUGUGCCAGCAGCCGCGGUAAUACAUAAGGGGCGAGCGUUAUCCGGAAUUAUUGGGCGUAAAGGGUGCGUAGGCGGUUUAAUAAGUCUAUAGUUUAAUUUCAGUGCUUAACGCUGUUGUGCUAUAGAAACUGUUUUACUAGAAUGAGUUAGAGGCAAGCGGAAUUCCAUGUGUAGCGGUAAAAUGCGUAAAUAUAUGGAGGAACACCAGAGGCGUAGGCGGCUUGCUGGGACUUUACUGACGCUGAGGCACGAAAGCGUGGGGAGCAAACAGGAUUAGAUACCCUGGUAGUCCACGCCGUAAACGAUGAGUACUAAGUGUCGGGUAAAACCGGUACUGAAGUUAACACAUUAAGUACUCCGCCUGAGUAGUACGUACGCAAGUAUGAAACUUAAAGGAAUUGACGGGACUCCGCACAAGCGGUGGAUCAUGUUGUUUAAUUCGAAGAUACACGAAAAACCUUACCAGGUCUUGACAUUUUCUUGCGAAGUUAUAGAAAUAUAAUGGAGGUUAUCAGGAAAACAGGUGGUGCAUGGUUGUCGUCAGCUCGUGUCGUGAGAUGUUAGGUUAAGUCCUAAAACGAGCGCAACCCUUGUCGUUAAUUGCCAGCAUGUAAUGAUGGGGACUUUAACGAGACUGCCAAUGAAAAAUUGGAGGAAGGUGGGGAUUACGUCAAAUCAUCAUGCCCCUUAUGAUCUGGGCUACAAACGUGAUACAAUGGUUGAUACAAAGAGUAGCUGAAACGCGAGUUCUUAGCCAAUCUCACAAAAUCAAUCUCAGUUCGGAUUGAAGUCUGCAACUCGACUUCAUGAAGUUGGAAUCGCUAGUAAUCGCGAAUCAGCAUGUCGC
RNAcentral lists this ribosomal RNA (1320 nucleotides) under 'Manihot esculenta' phytoplasma. RNAcentral's name for it is "bacterial SSU rRNA". It matches the Rfam family "Bacterial small subunit ribosomal RNA", at positions 32 to 1360 of the family's 1533-position model. The record is from RNAcentral. Lineage: Bacteria; Bacillati; Mycoplasmatota; Mollicutes; Acholeplasmatales; Acholeplasmataceae.